UACGAAGGGGGCUAGCGUUGUUCGGAAUCACUGGGCGUAAAGCGCACGUAGGCGGAUAUUUAAGUCAGGGGUGAAAUCCCAGAGCUCAACUCUGGAACUGCCUUUGAUACUGGGUAUCUGGAGUAUGGAAGAGGUGAGUGGAAUUCCGAGUGUAGAGGUGAAAUUCGUAGAUAUUCGGAGGAACACCAGUGGCGAAGGCGGCUCACUGGUCCAUUACUGACGCUGAGGUGCGAAAGCGUGGGGAGCAAACAGG
RNAcentral lists this ribosomal RNA (253 nucleotides) under uncultured bacterium. RNAcentral describes it as "partial 16S ribosomal RNA". It matches the Rfam family "Bacterial small subunit ribosomal RNA", at positions 524 to 776 of the family's 1533-position model. The record is from RNAcentral.